Molecule: ribosomal RNA, 1454 nt
Filed under: Kudoa mirabilis
Lineage: Eukaryota; Metazoa; Cnidaria; Myxozoa; Multivalvulida; Kudoidae
Description: partial large subunit ribosomal RNA
Source: RNAcentral
ACUGUGAUUCCCUUAGUAACUGCGAGUGAAGCGGGAAAAGCCCAUCGUUUAAUCUCCCCGGACUGUGGACGGGGCGACAUGUAACGGUAUGGAUAGGUUCUCUAUCAACUCUGUCUGGCCAAAGUCCUCCGGAUUGAGGUGCCAAAGAGGGUGACAGCCCCGUGUGUGGCUGGACAGGGUUGAGUAUGUGGCCGAUUCCGAGAGUCGGGUUGUUUGGGACUGCAACCUAAAGCAGGUGGUAAACUCCACCCAAGGCUAAAUAUUGACACGAAACCGAUAGCGAAUAAGUACUGUGAAGGAAAGUUGAAAAGAACUCUGAAAAGAGAGUUAAAAGUACGUGAAACCGCUAACGGGGAAGCGGAAGGCAGUGUCGAGAUUGGGUGAGUGAGUCACUUUAAACUCGUUUUGAAACGGGUUUGGGGUGGCUAGCUUUGCCCGAUGCGUCAGGACUAUUGGUGUGCGGUGGCUCAAUCGUCGGCAGGGCUUCCACGACACCUGCGUCAUGUUUCGAUGUGGCGUGGGCUCGUGGUUGCGGCAGGCGAUCCGCCUCGUGCGCUGGUAUGUAUGUGGUGAGGCGUUGGUGAUGUAGUGUCGGUUGGUGUUGCGUGGUGCCCCGCGUAGUCACAUUGUGGCUACGUGUGGGGAAGUCGUGUGAUAGUUCAACAACCAGUGCCAGUUCCUGACGUGAUACCUAACCUUCCGACCCGUCUUGAAACACGGACCAAGGAGGCAGAAUCUAGAGCGAGUUGGAGGGUGGAAAACCCGACGGCGCAGUGAAAGCGAGAGAUGAGACCCUGCAGCUUCGGCUGGGGGGGCAUCAUCGGCCAGUCAUCUUUUUGUUGGGUGAUUGAGUUUGAGCUGUAGAUGCUGGACCCGAAAGAUGGUGAACUAUGCGUGAGCAGGGCGAAGCCAGAGGAAACUCUGGUGGAGGCUCGUAGCGAUUCUGACGUGCAAAUCGAUCGUUUGACUUGCGUAUAGGGGCGAUAGACUAAUCGAACCAUCUAGUAGCUGGUUCCCUUCGAAAUAUCCCUCAGGAUCGCUGAGACAAGUGGGAGACAGUUUCAUCGGGUAGAGCGAAUGAUUAGAGGCAUCGGGGAUAUAUUACUCUCGACCUAUUCUCAAACUUCCAACCGGUGAGAGCGCCGUUUUCUUGAKUGAAAUGGCGCGUUGAAUGUUUUUGUCUCAAGUGGGCCAUUUUUGGUAAGCAGAACUGGCGAUGCGGGAUGAACCGAGAGUUGAGCUAAGGUGCCUAAGGACACGUUGAUAGAUACCACAAAAGGAGUCGGUCGAUAAAGACAGCAGGGCGGUGGCCCUGAAAGUAGGAAUCCGCUAAGGAAUUGUCUAAAAACUCACCUGCCGAAUCGACCGGCCCUGAAAAUGGAUGGCGCUGAAUCGUGUCACCGAUGCUCGACCUCUACCACGAGAGAUGUUGGUAGGGGGUAGAAGGGCGCGGC